Molecule: ribosomal RNA, 253 nt
Filed under: uncultured bacterium
Lineage: Bacteria
Description: partial 16S ribosomal RNA
Rfam family: Bacterial small subunit ribosomal RNA
Source: RNAcentral
UACGUAGGUGGCGAGCGUUGUCCGGAUUUACUGGGCGUAAAGAGCGCGCAGGCGGUCGUUCAAGUCGCGUGUGAAAGCCCCCGGCUCAACUGGGGAGGGUCACGCGAUACUGAUCGACUCGAAGGCAGGAGAGGGAAGUGGAAUUCCCGGUGUAGUGGUGAAAUGCGUAGAUAUCGGGAGGAACACCAGUGGCGAAGGCGGCCAUCUGGCCCAUUUUUGACGCUGAGGCGCGAAAGCGUGGGGAGCAAACAGG